This 206-nucleotide long non-coding RNA is filed under the name Lathyrus oleraceus (garden pea). RNAcentral's name for it is "Pisum sativum (pea) long non-coding RNA (PSAT_LNC015199)". Lineage: Eukaryota; Viridiplantae; Streptophyta; Magnoliopsida; Fabales; Fabaceae. The record is from RNAcentral.
AGUGCAAAUUUUUGGGCUUUUAUUGUAUUCAAUCCCUUGAUACCUCGAAAGUGCGAAAGCAGCUGCCAUCUUCUUUCCGGGUCUCCAGUUGAUUGAAUAGGGGCAGCUGUAAUACCCCAAAAUUUACCCUUCAUUUUUCCUGGAAAAAAAAAAGUUAAAAAUAAAUAAAUAAAUAAAAUUAAUUAAAUAAAUAAAUAAAAUAUAAC